This 68-nucleotide small nuclear RNA is filed under the name Nestor notabilis (Kea). RNAcentral describes it as "U5 spliceosomal RNA". It matches the Rfam family "U5 spliceosomal RNA", at positions 7 to 74 of the family's 117-position model. From Rfam's summary of the family: U5 RNA is a component of both types of known spliceosome. The precise function of this molecule is unknown, though it is known that the 5' loop is required for splice site selection and p220 binding, and that both the 3' stem-loop and the Sm site are important for Sm protein binding and cap methylation. Lineage: Eukaryota; Metazoa; Chordata; Aves; Psittaciformes; Psittacidae. The record is from Rfam by way of RNAcentral.
UGGUUUCUCUUCAGAUUGCAUAAAUCUUUCACCUUUUACUAAAAAUUUCCAUGCAGAGGAACACCAGU